AUCUUCCUUUUUUUUUGCCCGACCAUUCGCCUUCUCUUCUGUCUCAUCUCUCUCGCUUAAAAAAACUCAUCCACCUAAAAAAAACCCAUCCACCGAGGUCGAAAAAAGACAUCGACCACAGCUACGGCUUCCUUAUCCCCAUCUCCAACCAAAAGAACCCAACGGCCGAAGAAGAAACCCCACAGGAACACGAAGAACCCAAAGCGGAGAGAUUGAAAGAAAAAGAAGAUGAGGAAAGCGAUAAGGACAAGUUUGACGACGGGAUCGACUUCCCCCUGGGAAUCUUCGCCGUUGAUCUAUUGCUUCGAUGCUGCGAUGCGAGAGUUCAUCCCCACAGUCCAAAUCUCAAAGCGAGAUGCACCCCGACCAGUACUCUUGGUGCCCAGUGGAGCCUGCCGGAGUUCAGGCGUGCCUCUGGCGGCUUCCCUCCAACGUAGCCGUCUUACACGUGUGCCUCGGCGGCCGGGCCGAACAUGAAGGCUUAGUUGUCGUUGUAAAUCCAUCAAACCAGGUCGAGAUUGGAGAAAGCAUUAGCUACCCAUAGAGUCACAUUUGGAGAGGGCUGGCCAUAUCCGGAUGCUCCUGCGACGUCCAUGUCAGCGUCCUCUAUCGCCGGAGUUUUUGAUUUCCUUAUUGAGGCCUCCUCAAAUGUUUUCACCUUUGGGUAUAGUUUUUGUUCUUUCUUGCUUAAUUUAAUUGCUAUUCUGUUAUUCUUUUCACAGACAUCCUCAUACACAAAGAUUUGAGAUAAUUUUAUAUAUUAAUCAAAAUAUUUAUUUGGUCA
Ananas comosus (pineapple) is the source of this 784-nucleotide long non-coding RNA. RefSeq lists it as uncharacterized. The transcript has 2 exons. NCBI's taxonomy places the organism in Eukaryota, Viridiplantae, Streptophyta, Magnoliopsida, Poales, Bromeliaceae. The record is from RefSeq and is a predicted model, not a curated record.